RNAcentral lists this long non-coding RNA (932 nucleotides) under Salvia miltiorrhiza (redroot sage). RNAcentral's name for it is "long non-coding RNA (SMIL_LNC005666)". The record is from RNAcentral. Lineage: Eukaryota; Viridiplantae; Streptophyta; Magnoliopsida; Lamiales; Lamiaceae.
UGAGAACUAGCACUGCUAUACCAAUUCAGAGUUAAGAAUAAACGACAGGCAUUGCCUAAUCAGGUGGGCUUAUUUUCCAAAUGUAUGAUUUAGCUAUUGAGCUUAAAUAUUUCAAUGAAAUGAAAACUGUUUAUCCAAUAAAAUUUUUGUGCACUCUGCUCUGUUUAAGGCUCGCAAAAAUGAAUCGAUCGAGGUUCUCUCAUGACCUAACACGUUAUUUGAGAAUUGUGUACACCUAUUAGCUGACCCGGUGGAUUGAUCUCCAUCGGGCACUAAUCAUGUAUGAGGCGUUAUAAGGGUGCUCGACGGGAUGUGUUCCGGAGCAUUGGGUCCCAAAUGGGAACUUGGCUGGGUUACGCCCUCAGUCCAAGUAAGCAGGAGUAAUGGAUCCGUCGGUGGCUAAAAGGUCCGGGAUCACAGCGAGUAACGGAAAGGGAGUGUGACAAUUGCGCGCAAUACAAUAAAAUAUUUUAACAUGCUUAGAAGUUAUUUCAUUUAAAACCUUCUAAGUCAUGUAAAGUAUAAUUGGAUAAACUGCUCUUAUGAUUAUGAAAUAUUUAUAAAAAUGCUAGCCACUAAGUACAUUAGUACUUAGCCCAAAAUUUCUUUCAAAUGUUUUCAGGUUGAUUGGUCGGUGCUGACGGGGCAGAGCUGAGGCUAGGGUUCAACUCCGUAUUUUGUCUUCCGCUGUUGCACUAGUUCUUAUUUGUCUUUUAUUUCUCCAACUUAAGACUUUUAUGUUAAAUUCUGAAUUAUGUUCUUAUCGAGCUUAAACUCUCAACUUCUAGCUCUAUGUUAUUAACGUUGGUUAUCGGAAGCAUGAAACCGAACUUGUGAUCCUAAGGCUUAGAAUGUUGUUGAUUGAUUAAUAUCACUUGAUUUUUGUCUUUCUUCACUCAAAGGGCAUUCCCCGACUUUUUAUCCUAUUAUUU